CCUACGGGGGGCAGCAGUGGGGAAUAUUGCACAAUGGGCGCAAGCCUGAUGCAGCCAUGCCGCGUGUGUGAAGAAGGCCUUCGGGUUGUAAAGCACUUUCAGCGGGGAGGAAGGCGUUAAGGUUAAUAACCUUGGCGAUUGACGUUACCCGCAGAAGAAGCACCGGCUAACUCCGUGCCAGCAGCCGCGGUAAUACGGAGGGUGCAAGCGUUAAUCGGAAUUACUGGGCGUAAAGCGCACGCAGGCGGUCUGUCAAGUCGGAUGUGGAAUCCCCGGGCUCAACCUGGGAACUGCGUUCGAAACUGGCAGGCUAGAGUCUUGUAGAGGGGGGUAGAAUUCCAGGUGUAGCGGUGAAAUGCGUAGAGAUCUGGAGGAAUACCGGUGGCGAAGGCGGCCCCCUGGACAAAGACUGACGCUCAGGUGCGAAAGCGUGGGGAGCAAACAGGAUUAGAUACCCGAGUAGUC
This 465-nucleotide ribosomal RNA is filed under the name uncultured Klebsiella sp. RNAcentral's name for it is "bacterial SSU rRNA". It matches the Rfam family "Bacterial small subunit ribosomal RNA", at positions 338 to 795 of the family's 1533-position model. Lineage: Bacteria; Pseudomonadati; Pseudomonadota; Gammaproteobacteria; Enterobacterales; Enterobacteriaceae. The record is from RNAcentral.